RNAcentral lists this transfer RNA (91 nucleotides) under Enterobacter hormaechei. RNAcentral's name for it is "tRNA-OTHER". Lineage: Bacteria; Pseudomonadati; Pseudomonadota; Gammaproteobacteria; Enterobacterales; Enterobacteriaceae. The record is from RNAcentral.
UCCUUUGACAAGGCGUACGCAGGUCGAUAAUAUGCGCCCCGGCGGACUGUUAAUCCGUAUGUCACUGGUUCGAGUCCAGUCAGAGGAGCCA